GACGAACGCUGGCGGCGCGCUUAACACAUGCAAGUCGAGCGAUGAAAUUUCGACAGAUCCCUUCGGGGUGAAGAUGAAAUGGAUUAGCGGCGGACGGGUGAGUAACACGUGAGUAACCUGCCUUUGACAUUGGGAUAGCCUCGGGAAACUGGGAUUAAUACCAAAUGACACUAACUGAUCACAUGAUCAAUUAGUCAAAGAAAUUCGGUCAAAGAUGGACUCGCGGCUGAUUAGCUAGUUGGUGAGGUAACGGCCCACCAAGGCGACGAUCAGUAGCCGGCCUGAGAGGGUGAUCGGCCACAUUGGAACUGGGACACGGUCCAAACUCCUACGGGAGGCAGGAGUGGGGAAUAUUGCACAAUGGGGGAAGCCCUGAUGCAGCGACGCCGCGUGAGCGAAGAAGGCCUUCGGGUCGUAAAGCUCUUUUAUGAGGGAAGAUAAUGACGGUACCUCAAGAAAAAGCCCCGGCUAACUACGUG
This 479-nucleotide ribosomal RNA is filed under the name uncultured bacterium. RNAcentral describes it as "partial 16S ribosomal RNA". It matches the Rfam family "Bacterial small subunit ribosomal RNA", at positions 28 to 507 of the family's 1533-position model. The record is from RNAcentral.